CACCGAGGAGGGCACCGCGAUGGAGGCCUGAAUCUCCGCUCCUGGGAACAUGGGCCACGUGAGGCGUGUAGUAAAACCCUGGAAUUCUAACCACUUGUACGCUUGCCCACGAGCUACUAUGGCACCAUCAUUAAGAAGAUGAACGGAUGAUCCUGAGGAAAAGGCUCACGGAUUAUUGACCAAAACAAUCGUGUUGCUGGUCUCUAGCACUUUGUCACCUUUGGCCCCAUCCUCAUUGGUGUCUGAUUGUGGCCACUUUCCGGCACAGGAUCAUGACGCGCUGUCAAUGCGAGCCCUAGCAGAGUGUCUGAAAGGUGCACCAGCUACCCAUGGCUUUCUUCUGCACCGACAAAGAUACUGGAACCUGGAAAUGCCGUGAGCCACAAUGGACUGUUUUACAAUGAAAGAAUAAUUUGGAUCAAAUUAUCUGAGAAUUUCUUUCACGACGAUGGGGAUGAUGAUGAUGGUGAUGGUAAUGGUGAUGAUGGUAAUGAUGGUGAUGGCAAUGGUAGUUACCCUUCUGGAGCACGUACUCUGAGCCAGGCACUGUUGUAAGUACCUUACACACUUUAAUUCACUUAAUCCCCACGACACCGCUGUGAGCUUUUGAGAACGGAAGGUGAUAAUUCAUAUGGAACUGGGUGAAUAGCCUGAGAACUUCCGUCUGCCGGUGCAACCUGGAUGCGUGUUGUCUCAUCAGGGAAACUUUGAAAAAAAUGUAGGUGCCUGAGCCCAACCCCUGGCGGUUCCAAAGGAAUUGAUCUUGGGUGGGACCUUGGCAUUGGUAUUUAUUUUUGAAAGCACCUAGUUGAUUUUUCGCACUGCCAAAGUUGAGACUACUGCUCUGGAGUUGGUCUUUCACUCAGUGAUUGUGCGUCUCAGGGAGAUCACUUGCCUCUCUGAGCAUCAUCUGGAAAAUAGAAACAAUAACUGCCUUUCCUAACUCGCAUGUCAGGUGUGUUUUGAGAAAGCAAUAAAUUAUCGUUUGCUAAUGUCCUUAAAAAAACG
RNAcentral lists this long non-coding RNA (1008 nucleotides) under Felis catus (domestic cat). RNAcentral describes it as "lncRNA (ENSFCAG00000052521.1)". Lineage: Eukaryota; Metazoa; Chordata; Mammalia; Carnivora; Felidae. The record is from RNAcentral.